AUGGAGUAUCAACCAAUCGUCUCCGUGUUGGAUGUCCACACGGAGCCCGUCACCAUCGAUGCUCUCUUCUCUCUCGUGGCUAAUUUUGACCAGAGAGUCGAGAUGUUUCAUAGCAACGGAGCAGGCGGCUUCAGAUCUUCUGCAAACUCCAUCUCUCGCGGCGGCGGCAGUUGACCAAGAGGCAACAAGGGCGGCUACCGUGGCAACCAGAACCAAAAGGGCAACGGUGGCGGCCCUUGUGGUGGAUCUGGUGGCUACGGUGGCGGCGGCCACCCUGAUGGUGGCAGAUCUGGCAGUGGCGGCGCUGGCGGCUAUGGUGGAGGUGGCUAUGGUGGCGGCAGCGGCAGCUAUCCUAAUUGUGGCGCCAGUUGCUACCACCAGAGCAACUACGGCGGCGGCGGUCCCUAUCCUGGCGGUGGUGGUGGUGGCUAUUACCACCAGGGGAACUCCAACAACAACAAUGGCCGGCGUCCCUCCUCCAACAACAACAGGGCCCGCAAUUUUCAAGGUUAUGAGGGCUACGAGGGUAAAUGUCAAAUCUGUAAAAAAAACUAA
This 555-nucleotide ribosomal RNA is filed under the name Triticum aestivum (bread wheat). RNAcentral's name for it is "partial small subunit ribosomal RNA". Lineage: Eukaryota; Viridiplantae; Streptophyta; Magnoliopsida; Poales; Poaceae. The record is from RNAcentral.